UAGGGAAUCUUCCACAAUGGACGAAAGUCUGAUGGAGCAACGCCGCGUGUGUGAUGAAGGGUUUCGGCUCGUAAAACACUGUUGUAAGAGAAGAAUGACAUUGAGAGUAACUGUUCAAUGUGUGACGGUAUCUUACCAGAAAGGAACGGCUAAAUACGUACCAG
This 164-nucleotide ribosomal RNA is filed under the name uncultured bacterium. RNAcentral's name for it is "partial 16S ribosomal RNA". It matches the Rfam family "Bacterial small subunit ribosomal RNA", at positions 355 to 511 of the family's 1533-position model. The record is from RNAcentral.